This is a long non-coding RNA of Pan paniscus (pygmy chimpanzee), 1669 nucleotides long. NCBI's taxonomy places the organism in Eukaryota, Metazoa, Chordata, Mammalia, Primates, Hominidae. The record is from Ensembl.
GAGCAUCUUAAUGUUGUCAAACUUGGCUGCAGCCAAAGUGUAAAAAUUUUGCUUUCUAUUACCAAGUUAUUUUUGCAACAGACACUCUUAUAUUUUGUUACUAAGUAAGACAACAGCAUCUCUCGAUCCCGUGUUAGGCUGUAUCACCGGGUCUCACUCUGCCUCUGACUCUUGCGGGGCUCAAACUUGACCCCCAGAGAUCCAGGAGGGCCAUGAGGGGCAGUAUUGAAGUGAAGCCCGGGGAGGGGGAGAGCUUGAGGAAUGGAGUGAGAAGAGCUAUAAGUUGGUGCUGUUUGCCAGGGUUGGUGUCUACAGAGGGCCAGGGGAAUUCCAAGCGAGGGAAGCAAGGAGAACUUCUUGGACUCCUCAAGUUCUACCAGAAGGCAGUGCUAUGGUGUGCCCAACCCUCCCAGGGGCCUAAAUGGCCACCCUCUUGGGAAUGCCCAAAGCAUCUGCUAUUUAGGACUUGGUUACAGAGCGCCAUCAGCUUCCCCAAGGUUUGUUUUAUUUGCCACCAAACUGCCUGCCCACAACAUGUGGCACUCAGGACAUCCAGGUGUGUGCCGCAGGGCAUCAGGGAGAUAAAUUAUGCUUAUGUGCCUGGGACAACAGCCUCAACUGAUCACUCAGCUUUGAAUAACACCUGGCUACCUUGAGGACUGUGAGCCCUGCUGACCAUGGAAGUGGGAAAGGGAAAUAUUUCUGGUGAUGGCUCACCAGUUACAAUUGGCAAAGCAACCUUGAGAGGAUUAAAGUGACCCUUAGAGGAAGCGCGAGAGGUUAUGAUCAUCCCCAAAUAGGUGUGGCACCUGCUAUGAACAAGCUGUCAUGUUAAGUGCCCUGGGAAUAAAACACAGGUGCAAAAGUCUCUGCCCUCGAGGACCAUACGAAAAGACUGGCUGGAGAAAUAAUGAUGUAUAUGAGAGCAAUAGCCCUAACCAAGGUAACAUAUGAUAAAUACACAGGAGAUAUAUAGAAGAAAGCUCACUUCUGACAAGGCAGAUGUGGGAAAAAGAGGUUUGAGCUUCCCCCAGUCUCUCUUGACUCACUGUGUGAAUGAAUCAAUCUGUAAAUGGCCCUUGAGGGAUCUCUGGAUAAGAUUUCAACAGGUACAGAGGAGAAAUUAGGGCAUAUGGUUAGAAGGGAGAAAGAUAGGGUGGGGAGGGAAAAACCCAAGAUGUGACGAAUAGAAAACACAUUUUAUUUGGAGAGAGGAAGAGCUUGAGCACACACGUAGACAAGACUAUGGCGGAGGGCUCAUUUAGGGAGCUAGUGGAUGGAAAGCCUGGAAGGUAGAUUAAAUGACCCAUCUCAAGGGUCAUGGGGAGCCAUUGGCAUUUUGUUAGAUUAGUAAGAGUGACACCCAAUUUGUUCUUUGGGAAUAUUAUUGUGGUAGAGCAUGGGUUGGUGGAGGAAGAAAUUAGAGAAAGGAAACCAGUUGGGCAGCUAUUGCAAUAGCCAGGCAAAGACUAAUGAAGGCCUGAUGAGGGCUGUGGUGAUGAGAAUGGGAGAGAGGCAAAGGAUGAAAGAGGUAUUUUGGAAAUACAGUGGCCAUAGCCCGGCAGCUAGUUGGAUAUAGAGGGCCAGAGAGAGAACUGGAAGAUGAACUUAAUGUGAUAGAGAGGGGAGGUGCCACCAACCAAGGCUGAGUUGCUGGUUUUGAGGGAAU